UUAAGCGACUAAGCGUACACGGUGGAUGCCCUGGCAGUCAGAGGCGAUGAAGGACGUGCUAAUCUGCGAUAAGCGUCGGUAAGGUGAUAUGAACCGUUAUAACCGGCGAUUUCCGAAUGGGGAAACCCAGUGUGUUUCGACACACUAUCAUUAACUGAAUCCAUAGGUUAAUGAGGCGAACCGGGGGAACUGAAACAUCUAAGUACCCCGAGGAAAAGAAAUCAACCGAGAUUCCCCCAGUAGCGGCGAGCGAACGGGGAGCAGCCCAGAGCCUGAAUCAGUAUGUGUGUUAGUGGAAGCGUCUGGAAAGGCGCGCGAUACAGGGUGACAGCCCCGUACACAAAAAUGCACAUGCUGUGAGCUCGAUGAGUAGGGCGGGACACGUGGUAUCCUGUCUGAAUAUGGGGGGACCAUCCUCCAAGGCUAAAUACUCCUGACUGACCGAUAGUGAACCAGUACCGUGAGGGAAAGGCGAAAAGAACCCCGGCGAGGGGAGUGAAAAAGAACCUGAAACCGUGUACGUACAAGCAGUGGGAGCACGCUUAGGCGUGUGACUGCGUACCUUUUGUAUAAUGGGUCAGCGACUUAUAUUCUGUAGCAAGGUUAACCGAAUAGGGGAGCCGAAGGGAAACCGAGUCUUAACUGGGCGUUAAGUUGCAGGGUAUAGACCCGAAACCCGGUGAUCUAGCCAUGGGCAGGUUGAAGGUUGGGUAACACUAACUGGAGGACCGAACCGACUAAUGUUGAAAAAUUAGCGGAUGACUUGUGGCUGGGGGUGAAAGGCCAAUCAAACCGGGAGAUAGCUGGUUCUCCCCGAAAGCUAUUUAGGUAGCGCCUCGUGAAUUCAUCUCCGGGGGUAGAGCACUGUUUCGGCAAGGGGGUCAUCCCGACUUACCAACCCGAUGCAAACUGCGAAUACCGGAGAAUGUUAUCACGGGAGACACACGGCGGGUGCUAACGUCCGUCGUGAAGAGGGAAACAACCCAGACCGCCAGCUAAGGUCCCAAAGUCAUGGUUAAGUGGGAAACGAUGUGGGAAGGCCCAGACAGCCAGGAUGUUGGCUUAGAAGCAGCCAUCAUUUAAAGAAAGCGUAAUAGCUCACUGGUCGAGUCGGCCUGCGCGGAAGAUGUAACGGGGCUAAACCAUGCACCGAAGCUGCGGCAGCGACGCUGAUGCGUUGUUGGGUAGGGGAGCGUUCUGUAAGCCUGUGAAGGUGUGCUGUGAGGCAUGCUGGAGGUAUCAGAAGUGCGAAUGCUGACAUAAGUAACGAUAAAGCGGGUGAAAAGCCCGCUCGCCGGAAGACCAAGGGUUCCUGUCCAACGUUAAUCGGGGCAGGGUGAGUCGACCCCUAAGGCGAGGCCGAAAGGCGUAGUCGAUGGGAAACAGGUUAAUAUUCCUGUACUUGGUGUUACUGCGAAGGGGGGACGGAGAAGGCUAUGUUGGCCGGGCGACGGUUGUCCCGGUUUAAGCGUGUAGGCUGGUUUUCCAGGCAAAUCCGGAAAACUAAGGCUGAGGCGUGACGACGAGGCACUACGGUGCUGAAGCAACAAAUGCCCUGCUUCCAGGAAAAGCCUCUAAGCAUCAGGUAACAUCAAAUCGUACCCCAAACCGACACAGGUGGUCAGGUAGAGAAUACCAAGGCGCUUGAGAGAACUCGGGUGAAGGAACUAGGCAAAAUGGUGCCGUAACUUCGGGAGAAGGCACGCUGAUAUGUAGGUGAAGUCCCUCGCGGAUGGAGCUGAAAUCAGUCGAAGAUACCAGCUGGCUGCAACUGUUUAUUAAAAACACAGCACUGUGCAAACACGAAAGUGGACGUAUACGGUGUGACGCCUGCCCGGUGCCGGAAGGUUAAUUGAUGGGGUCAGCGCAAGCGAAGCUCUUGAUCGAAGCCCCGGUAAACGGCGGCCGUAACUAUAACGGUCCUAAGGUAGCGAAAUUCCUUGUCGGGUAAGUUCCGACCUGCACGAAUGGCGUAAUGAUGGCCAGGCUGUCUCCACCCGAGACUCAGUGAAAUUGAACUCGCUGUGAAGAUGCAGUGUACCCGCGGCAAGACGGAAAGACCCCGUGAACCUUUACUAUAGCUUGACACUGAACAUUGAGCCUUGAUGUGUAGGAUAGGUGGGAGGCUUUGAAGUGUGGACGCCAGUCUGCAUGGAGCCGACCUUGAAAUACCACCCUUUAAUGUUUGAUGUUCUAACGUUGACCCGUAAUCCGGGUUGCGGACAGUGUCUGGUGGGUAGUUUGACUGGGGCGGUCUCCUCCUAAAGAGUAACGGAGGAGCACGAAGGUUGGCUAAUCCUGGUCGGACAUCAGGAGGUUAGUGCAAUGGCAUAAGCCAGCUUGACUGCGAGCGUGACGGCGCGAGCAGGUGCGAAAGCAGGUCAUAGUGAUCCGGUGGUUCUGAAUGGAAGGGCCAUCGCUCAACGGAUAAAAGGUACUCCGGGGAUAACAGGCUGAUACCGCCCAAGAGUUCAUAUCGACGGCGGUGUUUGGCACCUCGAUGUCGGCUCAUCACAUCCUGGGGCUGAAGUAGGUCCCAAGGGUAUGGCUGUUCGCCAUUUAAAGUGGUACGCGAGCUGGGUUUAGAACGUCGUGAGACAGUUCGGUCCCUAUCUGCCGUGGGCGCUGGAGAACUGAGGGGGGCUGCUCCUAGUACGAGAGGACCGGAGUGGACGCAUCACUGGUGUUCGGGUUGUCAUGCCAAUGGCACUGCCCGGUAGCUAAAUGCGGAAGAGAUAAGUGCUGAAAGCAUCUAAGCACGAAACUUGCCCCGAGAUGAGUUCUCCCUGACUCCUUGAGAGUCCUGAAGGAACGUUGAAGACGACGACGUUGAUAGGCCGGGUGUGUAAGCGCAGCGAUGCGUUGAGCUAACCGGUACUAAUGAACCGUGAGGCUUAACCUU
Molecule: ribosomal RNA, 2902 nt
Filed under: Escherichia coli C347_93
Lineage: Bacteria; Pseudomonadati; Pseudomonadota; Gammaproteobacteria; Enterobacterales; Enterobacteriaceae
Description: bacterial LSU rRNA
Rfam family: Bacterial large subunit ribosomal RNA
Source: RNAcentral